CAACUCUCUCAACCCGCCGCAAUUCAAUUCAUCUUCCCCUUUCUCUCACAUCCGACUCUCCUAUCCCCACCUCAAUUCGCCGUACUGGUCACCUCCAUCAUCGCCUUCGACUGACUCCCGCACACAACACAGUCCGCCGCCUUCCUCGGGGACGGCGAAAUCGCCGCUCCUCCCUCUCUUUCAUGCAAUCCGCCCACUCCUCCCUUCCUGCAGUUCCCGACAAGUAACGGUGAAGACCGCCACCGUCGUCUCAAUCCCCGAUUCUCCCUUGCCCUUCCCCCUAUCUACAGAACCCUACGGCCGCAGUGGCUCAAGACCACGGCCAUUGUCGUCCGCCACCGCGCCGCGCCGGCACCCUCCGCAUCUCCCCCCUCCCAUCUCCACACAAGCUCUCCUUUCCGCUGACCUCAGCCAUGGCACAGCCGUCGCCAAUGGCUGCCCCGAGCUUGUCACCACCACCGUCAAUGGGUGUCUCGCACAUUUGGACUAAAGGCACAAAUUUCUUAGUUUCCUCGAAUUUCUCAGAUAGGGGAUUCAAUGAUUGCUUGAUUCUGGAGGGAAAUUAGGGUUGAUAAGAUAGUGAGGAAAGGGAAAAAAAGAGAUGGGUUAUUUCAAGCAGGCGCUAAGAAGCAUCGAUGCGUCGCACUCCAGCCCUCACCGCCUCGCCCCGACCUGUCUCCUUCGAUAAGUUGGCGUUGCCGCCCCUCAGUCCGCCGCUAUCCCUAGCAGAUACGUCAGCCAUGGAAAUCGUUUCCAGUUUCCAGUGAAUCCAUCUGCCCAGGCUUGCAAUGACUCUGAGCGACGUGGUACGGUAUUUUGAAAAUAGUUGCUGCUCGCUGCCUAUGACUCAUGACCAGCUAUUGUUGAGAUACGAGUUACAGGAAGAUCAUUCCUUAUUAGGGGAAGAUGAAUUUGAGUAUGACUAUGAUCUGGUCAAGGUUCAAAUGAAGUUAUGUCUCGAGUUUUGGUUGGGCAAUAGAGAAGCCAGUUACCCUCCUAUGGAGGAGCUCUGGAAAUGCAAGUUCUACAAGUUUGCCUCUGUAUGUCCAAUUAACUCGGACCCAGAUGAUUCUCCAAGCAAAACGAAAAGUGAAGACAUUCCUUCACCUGAUCCGACUCCUAAGUAAGCCAUUAUUCAUACUCAGCUUCUCAAAGAAAAGGAGUAGUUGGAUUUAUUGAAUCUACUUGAUUCUUGCUAGGGUUGUUGCUGUUAAUCUCUCCCAUUUGGAGGAUUUACUACGUGGUUUAAUUUGUUGAUCAGUUUAAUAUUGUUGUAUAGUUCAUGAUUGUUGUUGAUUGUUAUAACAUAGGAUCAAAUGUCAAAUAUUAAAUUGUGAAAUUGGAUUGCAUUUGCUGCUGCAUUGUAAAGUUCAGCCCAGAACUUAUUUAUGUAUUAUUUGAAGUGUCCGAUAAUUGAAAUAGAAAUUUACAUAUUCUCUCUUUUGUU
This is an RNA transcript of Salvia miltiorrhiza (redroot sage), 1447 nucleotides long. It is a transcript of the gene named exonuclease V, chloroplastic-like, with no coding region annotated. Lineage: Eukaryota; Viridiplantae; Streptophyta; Magnoliopsida; Lamiales; Lamiaceae. The transcript has 6 exons. The record is from RefSeq and is a predicted model, not a curated record.